AGUGAACGCUGGCGGUAGGCCUAACACAUGCAAGUCGAACGGCAGCACAGGAGAGCUUGCUCUCUGGGUGGCGAGUGGCGGACGGGUGAGGAAUACAUCGGAAUCUACUCUGUCGUGGGGGAUAACGUAGGGAAACUUACGCUAAUACCACAUACGACCUACGGGUGAAAGCAGGGGAUCUUCGGACCUUGCGCGAUUGAAUGAGCCGAUGUCGGAUUAGCUAGUUGGCGGGGUAAAGGCACACCAAGGCGACGAUCCGUAGCUGGUCUGAGGGGAUGAUCAGCCACACUGGAACUGAGACACGGUCCAGACUCCUACGGGGGGCAGCAGUGGGGAAUAUUGGACAAUGGGCGCAAGCCUGAUCCAGCCAUACCGCGUGGGUGAAGAAGGCCUUCGGGUUGUAAAGCCCUUUUGUUGGGAAAGAAAUCCAGCUGGCUAAUACCCGGUUGGGAUGACGGUACCCAAAGAAUAAGCACCGGCUAACUUCGUGCCAGCCGCCGCGGUAA
Molecule: ribosomal RNA, 506 nt
Filed under: uncultured bacterium
Lineage: Bacteria
Description: partial 16S ribosomal RNA
Rfam family: Bacterial small subunit ribosomal RNA
Source: RNAcentral